Molecule: ribosomal RNA, 492 nt
Filed under: uncultured bacterium
Lineage: Bacteria
Description: partial 16S ribosomal RNA
Rfam family: Bacterial small subunit ribosomal RNA
Source: RNAcentral
GGUGAACGCUGGCGGUAGGCCUAACACAUGCAAGUCGAACGGCAGCACAGUAAGAGCUUGCUCUUACGGGUGGCGAGUGGCGGACGGGUGAGGAAUACAUCGGAAUCUACUUUUUCGUGGGGGAUAACGUAGGGAAACUUACGCUAAUACCGCAUACGACCUACGGGUGAAAGCAGGGGAUCUUGGGACCUUGCGCGAUUGAAUGAGCCGAUGUCGGAUUAUCUAGUUGGCGGGGUAAAGGCCCACCAAGGCGACGAUCCGUAGCUGGUCUGAGAGGAUGAUCAGCCACACUGGAACUGAGACACGGUCCAGACUCCUACGGGAGGCAGCAGUGGGGAAUAUUGGACAAUGGGCGCAAGCCUGAUCCAGCCAUACCGCGUGGGUGAAGAAGGCCUUCGGGUUGUAAAGCCCUUUUGUUGGGAAAGAAAAGCAGCAGGUUAAUACCCCGCUGUUCUGACGGUACCCAAAGAAUAAGCACCGGCUAACUUCGUG